This 1095-nucleotide long non-coding RNA is filed under the name Homo sapiens (human). Its description in RNAcentral is "HSALNT0388062". Lineage: Eukaryota; Metazoa; Chordata; Mammalia; Primates; Hominidae. The record is from RNAcentral.
GGGAAGGGCCCCCAGGAUUCCUGAGAACCCUCCAGCUGUGUGCGGGGCAGAGGUGGGGGCCUCCACACCUCUGCUCAGGGCAGCCUGGAUGGCUGGACCAGCUCGUACCAUUGAAAAACUUGAUGAUGUCAGUGAAGUCCAUGUUGUUGUCACGGAUGAUCUCUCGGCUUGACUGGAUGCCCGAGGCCACGGAGUAAUUGCGAGAGGAGGGCAGUCCUGAGUCUGGAGAGUCGAACUCCACGGAAUGCUGCUGCUCCACCACGGCGGUGCCCGGAGUCCCGGGUCCUGCUUCCUGCUCAGCCUCCAACACUGUGGCCACGGGGCACCAAGCCAGCUUCUGACCCAGCCAGCCAGGCGGAGAGAAACAAGCCUCUGGCCAAACAUGAAGACACGUCUUCAGCCCUGCUUGAAGGAACAGCCCCAGGUCUUCCUGUGGCUACUGAAGGGAAGUAGGGGAGCCAGGGGGCUGAACGCUCAAUGGCCAGUUUGAACUCAGUCUCAUUCUAGAAACGCCUGAAGUCAUGAGACCGGGAGAAUGGCCUUAGUGUUUUGGUGUGGCUGGGUGGAGAGAAGCCUAGAGGUUUUAGGAAAAACAAGUUUUGCCUUAUUUUCAGUACUGAGUGUUCAGCAGGACAAGACAGGAACGUUCUGUAGCAAGCACCUAGUCAGUUCCAUUAGCCCUCAGGCAAGGUGGGGAGAUGUAGGAAGGAAAAGCAAACAUUCUGCCUCCUAGAUACAGUCCACCACCAUGGACAAGGCACGAGGAAAAGAAGAGACACAUACAGAGACUGUUUGGGAUUUUUCUCUCUCUGUUUUCACCACGUAGGGAAAGCAAUGCUAAAAGUAGUUUCUACUUUGGGCAGGAAGCAUGAAGUGCUGGGUAAGGCCACGGUUCUGUGGCAAUCUAAUACGCCAGCGAGGAGCUACUGCUGUCCAUGAGCUCAGCAGCUGGGCACUGGCACAGACAGAUUUUUACAAAACCCAAAGCCAGAGAGAGGGAGAAUGUGUUCCUGGAUAGGGGAUUAAGAACAAAGCACGUGGGAAAUGACAAUGUGCCUUGUUUGUUCUAUUUCUUUUUUUUUAUUUUAUUUCUGA